CUGUGUACACACUGCCAUAUUAUUAUUAUUAUAAGUUGCUUACACUGGAAAUGUGUUUCUAGCAUAGCUCGCAAAUACCUCUCGACUGUCAUUCGUAAAAGACGAUGCGCGUGUGCUCUGGCUCUGAACAUAACUCUUCGUUUCUCUUUGUUUUGGUUUUUGUUUAACUGUUCUCAGUUGCAUGGUUAUUAUUAUGCUCACUCAACAACAACUCAGAGAGAGCGAUUCAAUUGAACGCUCGCUCAAUGAGGGUCAGCAGAAGAGCGAAAAAUCGAAACAAUCUUUUGUCUUCAGUGCCUUUUAAACAAAACUUAGCAUAAAUUUUAACAUAUUUAUUAUAUGUAAGCAUAAGAUUUAUUACUUAUUCAGUAUAAAGCUUUACAACUAGUAGCAAAUUAACAUUUUCUGUACUUAAGGAGCUCUUUGUCACAUAUGGGAUAUGGGAUUCAUCGAAGGCGCGUUAAAAAUUGAGUUUAAUAUCUGUCAAAAACAUUCGCUAUCCAGAAAUAAAAAAGGCGGUGGUCACAAUCUUUACAUAUAUAAUAAUAUUGCAUAAUGGUAUAAUAAGCAUGCUCCGGUAAUCGUAACCAUUUUUCGAUUUCGAUAUGGGCCAAAUCGUACGAUUUCGUUUUUAGCUGCUCUGGUUUUCGCAAAAUUUUUGCUUGAGUAAAAUCUUGAGUUGCCACCUUUUUCCGAUGUUCGCAAUUACUUUUUACCGUACUUUGACCAUUUAAGUAAUUAAAUUAUAUAGCAUUAUUUACAAAGAACACGUGUGGCCCUCCUUUUAAUUAAUUAAUGAAUUAUUUUAUAUUUUAUAAGUACUUUUAUCUGCCUGUCCACGAACAGUAUGGCUACCUUCGGGAUAGCUUUUGCGACGUACUUCGACCCCUUACCAAAUCGUAAAUUAUUGUUGCCGACGGCAACAUUUUGUUUGUCAAAUCUGAGGUGGGGUCAGAAAUAUAUUUUUUAUAAAAUAACUAAGUGAAUGUGGAAUUAACAUCAAUAGACCACUGAGUUAAAUACUUUUUUCCCUUAGUAAAUAAGAUCUGAUUUGAUAUAAAAAAAGGCAUUUGCUUUUCAUUUCGGCCAGACAAAUGUGCCCGUUUUACAAAUCGAAAAAUCUUACGAAUUCGAUUACCGGAGCAUGCCUGAAUAUUUUGUUGUAAUUUGUCGUCAAUCUGGAACUCAUUAAAUACUUCCGAAUAUUUUGCAAUUAAAUGCAGAUUUAAAUUUGAUGCGUGAGAGCCUGCUAACAAAGGCUUAUUGUCUUCUGAAUUAAAUUAUAAAAAAAAAAAACACUUUUUUGUUGUGAUCGCGACCCCAUAAAAAGUUAAAACACUCGAAACGCUCCGAAUCCAGAAAAACAAGCGUGAUUACAAGUAGACUGAUCAUUCGCAUAUACACUCAUACAAAUGCUAUAGAUUUUUAUUUUCUUCGCUCGCUGCAAAACGGUCAGCAAAUAAGCAGAUCAAAAGGGAAACACGAAAUUGGUUUUUGGUUGAGCACAGACCGUUCGUUUAAGGAACUAGUUACUCUCAACACAAACUCAAAUCGAGUAAAAAAUAUAAAUGGUUUUUCUACAUUCAAUCUUGCAUUUGUGGCGUACAUUCAUGCAACAGAAAUCAGAACCGAUUACCCGACAGCAAAUUUAAUUUAUAUUUCAUCAUUAAAUCCAUCAAAUGCGUAAUUAAAUUCCAACCCAAAUGUUUCAGUAUAUACAAAUAUUUCUUCUUUCGGAUAUUUAUUCUUGGCCUUUUAUGUCAAGGAUCGUUGAUGUAGCUGCCGCUGGAGAUUUUUUAACGAUGUUUCGCAUUAUCACCUUUAUUUCCUCGUGUAAGGCUGAUUUCACCGCAAUGACGUUUUGGGAAAAACAUCAUUCCGAGAUAAUCGCGAGACUUGAAGCGCCAAGCCUUUCUAACGGAGCAAGAUGAAAAAGCUAUAACUUUGUUUCUACUACUUCAAUCUUUAUGAAAAUUUGAUCACAUUUUUAGAGACAUAUACAAGAAUACAAAAAUUUUCGACUUUUUGACCGACCGCAACAUAUGUAACCCCUUAAGUUGAGCUACUCUCAUUAUGAAUGCUCCCAUUCAUGGAAUAUAAUUACUAAAUCGUUGGAGUCUAAAAUCACCAAUCCAAUUUUUGUUAGUGUGACUAAUAACUUUAAGUACUGGAGUUCAGAAAUAAAUAUCUUAAUUCUUGAA
Molecule: long non-coding RNA, 2201 nt
Organism: Drosophila yakuba
Lineage: Eukaryota; Metazoa; Arthropoda; Insecta; Diptera; Drosophilidae
Exons: 2
Source: RefSeq, a predicted model, not a curated record